GACGAACGCUGGCGGCGUGCUUAACACAUGCAAGUCGAACGGAAAGGCCCUGCUUGCAGGGUACUCGAGUGGCGAACGGGUGAGUAACACGUGGGUGAUCUGCCCUGCACUUCGGGAUAAGCCUGGGAAACUGGGUCUAAUACCGGAUAGGAGCCAUUUUUCGUGUGAUGGUUGGAAAGUUUUUUCGGUGUAGGAUGAGCUCGCGGCCUAUCAGCUUGUUGGUGGGGUAAUGGCCUACCAAGGCGGCGACGGGUAGCCGGCCUGAGAGGGUGGACGGCCACAUUGGGACUGAGAUACGGCCCAGACUGCUACGGGAGGCAGCAGUGGGGAAUAUUGCACAAUGGGCGCAAGCCUGAUGCAGCGACGCCGCGUGGGGGAUGACGGCCUUCGGGUUGUAAAAUCCUUUCGCUAGGGACGAAGCUUUUUGUGACGGUACCUAGAUAAGAAGCACCGGCUAACUACGUG
This 465-nucleotide ribosomal RNA is filed under the name uncultured bacterium. Its description in RNAcentral is "partial 16S ribosomal RNA". It matches the Rfam family "Bacterial small subunit ribosomal RNA", at positions 28 to 507 of the family's 1533-position model. The record is from RNAcentral.